CCAAUCUAGAGUAUNGGAGAGGAAAGUGGAAUUCCUAGUGUAGCGGUGAAAUGCGUAGAUAUUAGGAAGANCACCAGUGGCGAAGGCGACUUUCUGGACGAAAACUGACGCUGAGGCGCGAAAGCCAGGGGAGCGAACGGGAUUAGAUACCCCGGUAGUCCUGNCCGUAAACGAUGGGUACUAGGUGUAGGAGGUAUCGACCCCUUCUGUGCCGGAGUUAACGCAAUAAGUACCCCGCCUGGGGAGUACGACCGCAAGGUUGAAACUCAAAGGAAUUGACGGGGGCCCGCACAAGCGGUGGAGUAUGUGGUUUAAUUCGACGCAACGCGAAGAACCUUACCAGGUCUUGACAUUGAUGGACAGAACCAGAGAUGGUUCCUCUUCUUCGGAAGCCAGAAAACAGGUGGUGCACGGUUGUCGUCAGCUCGUGUCGUGAGAUGUUGGGUUAAGUCCCGCAACGAGCGCAACCCCUAUCUUAUGUUGCCAGCACUUUGGGUGGGGACUCAUGAGAGACUGCCGCAGACAAUGCGGAGGAAGGCGGGGAUGACGUCAAAUCAUCAUGCCCCUUAUGACCUGGGCUACACACGUACUACAAUGGGAGUUAAUAGACGGAAGCGAGAUCGCGAGAUGGAGCAAACCCGAGAAACACUCUCUCAGUUCGGAUCGUAGGCUGCAACUCGCCUACGUGAAGUCGGAAUCGCUAGUAAUCGCAGGUCAGCAUACUGCGGUGAAUACGUUCCCGGGCCUUGUACACACCGCCCGUCACACCACGAAAGUCGGAAGUGCCCAAAGCCGGUGGGGUAACCU
RNAcentral lists this ribosomal RNA (807 nucleotides) under uncultured bacterium. RNAcentral describes it as "bacterial SSU rRNA". It matches the Rfam family "Bacterial small subunit ribosomal RNA", at positions 636 to 1441 of the family's 1533-position model. The record is from RNAcentral.